UUCCUGCAGGCUGUGGCUGAAGGUCUGCAGCUGUUGCCCGUUCGUGAGCCCUUUGCUGUGGAGAAACUUGGAGACGAAGGACAUGGAGGCGGCCAUCUCGCCUACCCUGGUGGUGGCUCUGGGGUAGAAGGGAUGCAAGGAGGCAGAGGUGGGGAAUGAUGGAGAGAUUGGAAGUGGCAUUCUUCUCCACAACACCAUGGGUUCUGUAGUCCCUUGUGCAAUUCUGCAAUUCUGCCAUGAUAGUUAUUGAGACCAAGACAGGCAAAGUCUAACCAGGGAAAGAAGAGUUCUGUAGACUUCCUUCCAAUUCUACCAAGGUUGAUAUUGAGAGCAGGCUUCUUGCCAGCAGCAUUAAACCCAACAAUCUAUACUUCCUAGGACAAUCUCUACCUUUGAUUUCUGUAAAAUAACACUUUUCUGUUUUUCUUCUGAGGCCCCUCCUCCACAGACCAGUUUCUGGAUAUCUUCUUCUUUAUCAGAUCUCUAAAUGUUGAGAUUCUUCUAGAUUUAGAUCUAUGCUGCUUGUUCUUUGCACUCUACAUUUUCUUCAUUCAUUUCUACAACUUUUAAUAGUGUGUAUAGGUAGCUCCCAGAUUGCUAUUUUCACCGUGAUUCUCUUGCCUCAUACUUUUCCCCUCUUUGGUGAUGAUGUGUCAGCACAUUGGCCCUCUCUCUAAUCUUGAAUACUUUAUUUCUGUCUGGGGAGUUUAGCACAUGCUUCCCUCUGCCUAUAAUGCUGUAUAACUUGCCCUCUCCCUUUUUGCAAGGAUAAAUUCCCAGCUUAAAUGCCAUAUCAUAAGAGAGGUCUUGACUGAAUGCACAAUCUAUGUUGGAUCUCCCUGGAUGUUCAGGGAAGAAAAGAAACAUUUUUUUCUUUCACAGCAUUUAUCAUCAUAUGGAAUUACCUUAUUUAAUUUAUUUGUUUAUAUACUUUGAUCUGUAUUCUUCCACAGGAAUGUAUAAUCCCCAAUGGCAGGAACAUGUGGUUUUUGUUAACCACAGAACAGUAUCUGAUACAAAAUAUGCAUUAAAAUUCUUGUGAACUGACUAAAUAAUAUCCAUCUCUCCACUUGAUUGCUUUACUUGCCACACAUCCCCAGUACCUAAUUCAAGAGCUUGGCUCAUUGUCAGCCUUUAAAUAUUGACUGAACCCAAUUAAUCACUUUUUUCUUUAACUUCUGAACUCUGUGCCCAGCUCCCUACUUGAAUAGCUUCACUGGAUAUCUCAAAAGAACCUCAAAUUCA
This 1245-nucleotide long non-coding RNA is filed under the name Homo sapiens (human). RNAcentral's name for it is "HSALNT0185361". Lineage: Eukaryota; Metazoa; Chordata; Mammalia; Primates; Hominidae. The record is from RNAcentral.